UACAGAGGGGGCAAGCGUUGUUCGGAAUUACUGGGCGUAAAGGGCGCGUAGGUGGCCCGCUAAGUCGAACGUGAAAUCCCCGAGCUCAACUCGGGAACUGCGUCCGAUACUGGUGGGCUUGAAUCCGGGAGAGGGAUGCGGAAUUCCAGGUGUAGCGGUGAAAUGCGUAGAUAUCUGGAGGAACACCGGUGGCGAAGGCAGCCCCCUGGGCUAGCACUGACGCUCAGGCACGAAAGCGUGGGGAGCAAACAGG
RNAcentral lists this ribosomal RNA (253 nucleotides) under uncultured bacterium. RNAcentral describes it as "partial 16S ribosomal RNA". It matches the Rfam family "Bacterial small subunit ribosomal RNA", at positions 524 to 776 of the family's 1533-position model. The record is from RNAcentral.